AGGCGGAUAGCUCAAUGGUAGAGCGCCUCUAUUAAACACAGAGGAGGUUGCAGCGUUCAAUCCCUGCUCCGCCUACCA
This 78-nucleotide transfer RNA is filed under the name Bryobacterales bacterium. RNAcentral describes it as "tRNA-Leu". It matches the Rfam family "tRNA". From Rfam's summary of the family: Transfer RNA (tRNA) molecules are approximately 80 nucleotides in length. Their secondary structure includes four short double-helical elements and three loops (D, anti-codon, and T loops). Lineage: Bacteria; Pseudomonadati; Acidobacteriota; Terriglobia; Bryobacterales. The record is from RNAcentral.